AGAGAGAGACAUGCGCGCAUAUCAAUAAGCGGAGGAAAAGAAACUAACAAGGAUUCCCCUAGUAACGGCGAGUGAAGCGGGAAGAGCUCAAAUUUGAAAUCUUAAAGGGUUUCCCUUUACGAAUUGUAGUUUAAAGAAGUGUUUUCUGUUGAGGUUUUGGUAAAAGUUCUUUGGAAUAGGACAUCAUAGAGGGUGAGAAUCCCGUAUUUGACCUUUACUUUCAACUUUGUGAUACACUUUCAAAGAGUCGGAUUGUUUGGGAAUGCAGUCCAAAAUGGGUGGUAAAUUUCAUCUAAAGCUAAAUAUUGGCGAGAGACCGAUAGCGAACAAGUACCGUGAGGGAAAGAUGAAAAGAACUUUGAAAAGAGAGUUAAACAGUACGUGAAAUUGUCAAAAGGGAAGCGUUUGACACCAGUGUUGUUUUUCUGAAAAUCAAUUAAAGAACUGUUUAUGCUAAGCUGUUUAGACUUUAUCAGCUAACUGUUUAGUUUUGAGCUUUUCUUUAAUGCACUUUUCAGUUAACAAGUCAACAUCAAUUUCUUUUGCUGUAAAAAAGCUUGAGGAAGGUGGCUUGAGACUCGUCUUAAGUGUUUAUAGCCUCUUGCCUAUGCAGUCGGAGAGAUUGAGGUCUGCAGCGUAGAUCCUUCGGGGCUAAAUGCAUUCGUGCUAAGUUAUAGCAUUUUAUAGACAACUUGUUGACUAUGAUUUGUCUUGUAGCUUACUCGCUUAUGUUAUUUUACCUACGCUUAGGAUGUUGACGCAUGAGAUAUACGC
This 774-nucleotide ribosomal RNA is filed under the name uncultured Neocallimastigales. RNAcentral's name for it is "partial large subunit ribosomal RNA". It matches the Rfam family "Eukaryotic large subunit ribosomal RNA", at positions 23 to 647 of the family's 3401-position model. The record is from RNAcentral. Lineage: Eukaryota; Fungi; Neocallimastigomycota; Neocallimastigomycetes; Neocallimastigales.